This is a non-coding RNA of Lolium perenne, 1476 nucleotides long. Lineage: Eukaryota; Viridiplantae; Streptophyta; Magnoliopsida; Poales; Poaceae. The record is from RefSeq and is a predicted model, not a curated record.
GUCGCAGAGAGAGCGUUUCAGAAUUACGGUGCUUAUCAUGUAUUGAGUGAUAACUGACCAUUGAUGGUGCAUAACAUUCAACGAGUGGUGGAAAUGAGGGUGAUGCAUAUUAGUUCCCUAGGUGUCCAAGUACAUGAGCUGAUCCAAGAUGCUGAGCUAAGACCUUGUUUGGGUUUGGUUGGUAGGAGAUCCUUGCACUGUCGGUGACAACAGACAACAUUCGGUGCUGUGGGAGUGUCAGGUAAUUGUAAACUACAUAUUGUGAUGCAGAUGAUGGUACACGUUGGGCUGCUAAUGCAGUAUCAACUAACGAUUGGUGAAAUUUGCUUGGCUAAUAUAGUAUUCUUUUCUAAAAUUCCCAAGGAAUUUGGGAAAAGGCAGCGGUAAGUUAUUCUCCAUGUCCUCCUUUGUAUAACAUCAACAUCUGUGAUAUAACCAGUCUGCACGUCUCUGCUGAAUUUACUUAUUUAGUUAUUUGUUUGUUGUUCUCAGAUUUGUAUCUACUGACGAGAAAAGGUAAGCAAGUAAUAUUUUACAGGUAAGCAAUUGGUUUGAUCGUGUUGGGAAAGUAUUGGUCAAAAAGAAUAUGAAUGACAACACAAGAAAAGGUGACCAUGACAUGGAGAAACACAUUUUUCAAGUCUGCCUACUUGGCGAGCGCAACGGCAGCCGUACCGCCAUCGCCUGACACCCUCAAUAUUGGUUGGAUAUGCUCUAUGUAGAGGUCUCUCAAGAAGCAGUAUGUCGCUGAUGGUGUUCAUGAAGUGACUCCUAAUAAUGAGCAAGACGGCAAAUCUGAUCUCAGAGAAGCUGAAUAACAAAGGAGCAAGUGGAGAAGGUUCUCAAGGCUGGUGCUAACGUUGUAUUUACCACCAAAGGGAAUCAAUGAUAUGUUAUUGAAGGGCUUGGAUCCUGUGAAGGUGGAGCUGGCGUCGGAGUAGGCGUAGCUAUACACCACCUCCCGGGUUGAGUGUGGCUGCUCACUCGAAAUCAGGACGACGCGGCCUGCGACGCAAGCAACAAAGGAAUGUUGAAUCCACUGAUCCAUUUUGUACGAGUUGCUUUAAGUGCCUUACUUUGUCUCAGCAUAUCCACUGAUCCUUCGGGCCUUUUAGCGCAUACUCUUUAAUUUAUGAUCUUACUUGACGAGGUCAAUGCACAUAUUCUUUAGUUUAUAACAUUAUUUGAACCACCACUAGAAGGAAUCAUCAUAAUUAAAUUAUUCUCUGCUCUAUGAACUUCAAGUCCCAUUUAUUUGAACACGUGCCUGGUAUUAUGGGUUUCAGAGAACGACCUAUGAUCUUGGAAUUGUCCAUUCGGUGCUAUGAAGGUAUCAGGUGCUCAGUUGGAGGUACAUAUUCAAGGUUGAGGCUGACAUGCACAAUGUAGCAAGGUACGUUUUAGUUUACAAUACAAUACAUUCAUGUUUGUUUUCUUGAUGUAGUUCUGCUUAUUUCAAUAGUAUGUUUUGCUUUC